This is a non-coding RNA of Peromyscus maniculatus bairdii (prairie deer mouse), 1181 nucleotides long. The record is from RefSeq and is a predicted model, not a curated record. NCBI's taxonomy places the organism in Eukaryota, Metazoa, Chordata, Mammalia, Rodentia, Cricetidae.
UUUAACAUUCCCCCUUUCAGACUAUUCAUGUGAGUAAGCCAAGCUGAGAAAAACCUAAGACUAGUUUUGUCAGCGCUGACCCACACCAUCUUCCCAGAGGAUAAAGAAGACCUGAGUGAACCAGGAAGGGCGGGCGCAGGGAGGGCUUUGGGUCUGCCGCGCUGUGCUGAUGUGUUUGUAGGAGAGUUUACCCCCAACAGACUGGGGUGGAGGACUUCUCACUGAGGCAGAGUAAGAAGAGCUCACGGGAUUUCAGAGAGCUUGGCAACUGUUCUCUGGAAUCCAGAGAAUGUGGGGAUGACUCAGGAUGACUCAUGUGUGAGUUUAAAGAUAAGAGGUUGGGUCUUGAUCUGCGGGAGAGGCAGUAGGGAGAUCCACUCUGUGCUUCCGUUUCUAGCGGUUAAAGGUCUUUGUUCGCAGCGGACUCGAAUUAGUACCGAGGACAGCUCGCCUGGCUCACCCUAACUCCUCCAGGAGGACCGUUAAAUGUGCGGUAGACGCCAGCAAAAACCUGAGGCUGUCACCUUUCCUAAUGGGAGAAGUCAGCAACUGACGGGAAGGCACUAUGUAUGACAGGAGAAAGGUCGCCAUCCAGCCUUUAGUGUGGGAUCUUAGAGGACCACACACCGAUAUCUGGCCAGCUCUGGACUCCUGCUGUGUGGGAGGGAUCCUAGCUUCACACCCUGACUGCAUCAUUCAAGACAGAUCCCUAUGAGGAAGACAGAUUAAUACAAGAGAAUCAAACAGAAGCGUAUGGAAAUGUGUUCAUCAUACACGCUAGGGGAUGCUCGGGAUGUGUAAUUCUCCAAGAGUCUCAAGGGAGGAGGGCACAGUUUUAAAGACCCGAGAAGAGAAAGAACAGGACGGCAGCUCGUGGCAAGGCGGGGACGUGACUUUGAUGUGGAUGUUCCCCGGGUGCUUCUUCUGUGUAAACAGGGCCUGCAGCUGUCUUUGGUGACCAACCUUCUUCAUCCGUCCUGCCCCACAGACAAAAUUUGCAUCAGGCCUAUGGACUCUCUAUUGUCUGUGUGAGGCUACUUUUUCAUCACGAGAGCAGUUCGGAGCCAGGCGCUAACAGUUCACUGACUGUGGGAUGGAGUCAAAGGAGGAAAUCAGAGUCAAAGGAAUAAGUGGUGGUUGGCGUGAGUUCGAGGCCAGCCCGAUCGACAGAGUGAGUUCCA